Molecule: long non-coding RNA, 767 nt
Filed under: Apteryx rowi (Okarito brown kiwi)
Lineage: Eukaryota; Metazoa; Chordata; Aves; Apterygiformes; Apterygidae
Description: lncRNA (ENSARWG00000017102.1)
Source: RNAcentral
CGGGGAUGCCCGCAGACGCGGCUGUGCUGCGUUGACGUAGUUGCUGCACAGCGGAGCCGUGUUAUCGCAGGGGAGAGUUAUCCCAAACACUGCCACUGUGCAUCAACGCUGUAGUCAGGCUGUGCUGUGUUAUGUCAAAGCGCUGUCCGGGUGUGGAAACAAGGAACAAGGGGUAAAGCAGAAACCACGCGAGUCACGGUCCACACGGACUGACUCACACACGUUCUGAGGUCUCYGUUUUGCUACCUUGAGUUUGAAAAUAACGCCUACAAUCCUAUCGUCUCAUUUACUUUUCCAUUUUAGGUGAAGUGAUGCUCUUCCUGUGUCGCUAACAGUGUUCCUUUGAGUACCAACCAAUACGUAAUUGGCCACUGCCCCUGUAAAGAGCCAUUUAAAGCUAAGUAAUAUUGGCGUCAAUGAAGAAUUUAACCUGUUCCUUUGUUUCUCACUCUUCCCAGGAAUACUGUGGACAAGAUGGCCACAACCGGACCGUACAAAAUGGGUGACGGAAGCAGCUAUGCGACUAACUGCUUCCCUGCCAGGAACAUUUUGUGCACAAAUAGAGAAGGGGCUAGGCACUGGCUGCUAGCUCACGGAGCUACCCGGAGAUCCCGGAUCAGGCAGGCAAUCCCCGGGGAAAUGCCCCAGCGGAGAAGAAAGCCCCAAAGUUUGGCCUCUGCAGAAGAAGACARUAUCCUAGAUGAGCCAUUUCUGAUGAAGCAUCACUCUUUGAAGAAUCCUUCUGACCUGUGCUCUGUGAAUAUAAG